This 226-nucleotide ribosomal RNA is filed under the name uncultured bacterium. RNAcentral's name for it is "partial 16S ribosomal RNA". It matches the Rfam family "Bacterial small subunit ribosomal RNA", at positions 113 to 334 of the family's 1533-position model. The record is from RNAcentral.
CGACGUAGGUAACCUGCCUGGUAGCGGGGGAUAACUAUUGGAAACGAUAGCUAAUACCGCAUAAGAGUAGAUGUUGCAUGACAUUUGCUUAAAAGGUGCAAUUGCAUCACUACCAGAUGGACCUGCGUUGUAUUAGCUAGUUGGUGGGGUAACGGCUCACCAAGGCGACGAUACAUAGCCGACCUGGGAGGGUGAUCGGCCACACUGGGACUGAGACACGGCCCAG